This 31-nucleotide non-coding RNA is filed under the name Macaca fascicularis (crab-eating macaque). The record is from RNAcentral. Lineage: Eukaryota; Metazoa; Chordata; Mammalia; Primates; Cercopithecidae. RNAcentral also lists the same sequence under 1 other name.
UCCCAGUCCGGCCCAAGAGGUGUCAUCAUCA